UGGCAAUGGUUCAGACACUUCCUCAAUAAAUCCUUGAAUCUCUCCUAGGCUUCAUAAAAAGAUUCGUUGUCAUGCUGGGUAAAGUUGUUAAUUUCAGCUCUCAGCUU
Cannabis sativa is the source of this 107-nucleotide small nucleolar RNA. NCBI's taxonomy places the organism in Eukaryota, Viridiplantae, Streptophyta, Magnoliopsida, Rosales, Cannabaceae. The record is from RefSeq and is a predicted model, not a curated record.